GAAGAGUUUGAUCAUGGCUCAGAUUGAACGCUGGCGGCAGGCCUAACACAUGCAAGUCGAACGGUAACAGGAAGCAGCUUGCUGCUUUGCUGACGAGUGGCGGACGGGUGAGUAAUGUCUGGGAAACUGCCUGAUGGAGGGGGAUAACUACUGGAAACGGUGGCUAAUACCGCAUAACGUCGCAAGACCAAAGAGGGGGACCUUCGGGCCUCUUGCCAUCAGAUGUGCCCAGAUGGGAUUAGCUUGUUGGUGAGGUAACGGCUCACCAAGGCGACGAUCCCUAGCUGGUCUGAGAGGAUGACCAGCCACACUGGAACUGAGACACGGUCCAGACUCCUACGGGAGGCAGCAGUGGGGAAUAUUGCACAAUGGGCGCAAGCCUGAUGCAGCCAUGCCGCGUGUAUGAAGAAGGCCUUCGGGUUGUAAAGUACUUUCAGCGGGGAGGAAGGUGUUGUGGUUAAUAACCGCAGCAAUUGACGUUACCCGCAGAAGAAGCACCGGCUAACUCCGUGCCAGCAGCCGCGGUAAUACGGAGGGUGCAAGCGUUAAUCGGAAUUACUGGGCGUAAAGCGCACGCAGGCGGUCUGUCAAGUCGGAUGUGAAAUCCCCGGGCUCAACCUGGGAACUGCAUUCGAAACUGGCAGGCUUGAGUCUUGUAGAGGGGGGUAGAAUUCCAGGUGUAGCGGUGAAAUGCGUAGAGAUCUGGAGGAAUACCGGUGGCGAAGGCGGCCCCCUGGACAAAGACUGACGCUCAGGUGCGAAAGCGUGGGGAGCAAACAGGAUUAGAUACCCUGGUAGUCCACGCCGUAAACGAUGUCUACUUGGAGGUUGUGCCCUUGAGGCGUGGCUUCCGGAGCUAACGCGUUAAGUAGACCGCCUGGGGAGUACGGCCGCAAGGUUAAAACUCAAAUGAAUUGACGGGGGCCCGCACAAGCGGUGGAGCAUGUGGUUUAAUUCGAUGCAACGCGAAGAACCUUACCUGGUCUUGACAUCCACGGAAGAAUUCAGAGAUGGAUUUGUGCCUUCGGGAACCGUGAGACAGGUGCUGCAUGGCUGUCGUCAGCUCGUGUUGUGAAAUGUUGGGUUAAGUCCCGCAACGAGCGCAACCCUUAUCCUUUGUUGCCAGCGGUCCGGCCGGGAACUCAAAGGAGACUGCCAGUGAUAAACUGGAGGAAGGUGGGGAUGACGUCAAGUCAUCAUGGCCCUUACGACCAGGGCUACACACGUGCUACAAUGGCGCAUACAAAGAGAAGCGACCUCGCGAGAGCAAGCGGACCUCAUAAAGUGCGUCGUAGUCCGGAUUGGAGUCUGCAACUCGACUCCAUGAAGUCGGAAUCGCUAGUAAUCGUGGAUCAGAAUGCCACGGUGAAUACGUUCCCGGGCCUUGUACACACCGCCCGUCACACCAUGGGAGUGGGUUGCAAAAGAAGUAGGUAGCUUAACCUUCGGGAGGGCGCUUACCACUUUGUGAUUCAUGACUGGGGUGAAGUCGUAACAAGGUAACCGUAGGGGAACCUGC
This 1519-nucleotide ribosomal RNA is filed under the name Salmonella enterica. RNAcentral describes it as "bacterial SSU rRNA". It matches the Rfam family "Bacterial small subunit ribosomal RNA". The record is from RNAcentral. Lineage: Bacteria; Pseudomonadati; Pseudomonadota; Gammaproteobacteria; Enterobacterales; Enterobacteriaceae. RNAcentral also lists the same sequence under 4 other names.